Molecule: non-coding RNA, 239 nt
Organism: Pelobates cultripes (western spadefoot toad)
Lineage: Eukaryota; Metazoa; Chordata; Amphibia; Anura; Pelobatidae
Source: the annotation of a GenBank genome assembly
ACACAUACAAACACAGAUUCACACAAUGCAUCCCUUACACACACACACUACAUCCCUUACACAAACUAGUAUCCCUAUACACUACAUUCCAUAAGAACACACACAUUACAUCCUCUACAAUAACACAUAACACAUCCCCUACACACAUACACUCCACUCCCUGUGAGCAAACUCAUGGGUGGGCCUUGUAGGCAUACUCACGGUCAGGCCCAGAGUUGCUUCCUGUUCAUUGAUGUUUG